This 74-nucleotide transfer RNA is filed under the name Perkinsus olseni. RNAcentral describes it as "tRNA-Arg". It matches the Rfam family "tRNA". From Rfam's summary of the family: Transfer RNA (tRNA) molecules are approximately 80 nucleotides in length. Their secondary structure includes four short double-helical elements and three loops (D, anti-codon, and T loops). Further hydrogen bonds mediate the characteristic L-shaped molecular structure. tRNAs have two regions of fundamental functional importance: the anti-codon, which is responsible for specific mRNA codon recognition, and the 3' end, to which the tRNAs corresponding amino acid is attached (by aminoacyl-tRNA synthetases). tRNAs cope with the degeneracy of the genetic code in two manners: having more than one tRNA (with a specific anti-codon) for a particular amino acid; and 'wobble' base-pairing, i.e. permitting non-standard base-pairing at the 3rd anti-codon position. The record is from RNAcentral. Lineage: Eukaryota; Perkinsozoa; Perkinsida; Perkinsidae.
GCCCGAUUAGUUCAGCUGGAUAGAAUGUCUGCCUACGGAGCAGAUGGUCGUAGGUUCGAAUCCUGCAUCAGGUA